GCCAGACUCCUACGGGAGGCAGCAGUGAGGAAUAUUGGUCAAUGGCCGCAGGGCUGAACCAGCCAAGUCGCGUGAGGGAUGACGGUCCUAUGGAUUGUAAACCUCUUUUGUCAGGGAGCAAAGGGCGCCACGUGUGGCGUUUUGCGAGUACCUGAAGAAAAAGCAUCGGCUAACUCCGUGCCAGCAGCCGCGGUAAUACGGAGGAUGCGAGCGUUAUCCGGAUUUAUUGGGUUUAAAGGGUGCGCAGGCGGAAUGUCAAGUCAGCGGUAAAAUUGCGGGGCUCAACCCCGUCGUGCCGUUAAAACUGGCGUUCUUGAGUGAGCGAGGAGUAUGCGGAAUGCGUGGUGUAGCGGUGAAAUGCAUAGAUAUCACGCAGAACUCCGAUUGCGAAG
RNAcentral lists this ribosomal RNA (392 nucleotides) under uncultured bacterium. RNAcentral describes it as "bacterial SSU rRNA". It matches the Rfam family "Bacterial small subunit ribosomal RNA", at positions 330 to 720 of the family's 1533-position model. The record is from RNAcentral.